GGAAUAUUGGUCAAUGGGCGCGAGCCUGAACCAGCCAAGUAGCGUGAAGGAUGAAGGUCCUAUGGAUUGUAAACUUCUUUUAUAGCAGAAUAAAGUGACACACGUGUGGGGUUUUGUAUGUAUGCUAUGAAUAAGGAUCGGCUAACUCCGUGCCAGUAGCCGCGGUGAUACGGAGGAUCCGUGGGUUAUCCGGCUGUAUUGGGUUUAAAGGGUGCGUAGGCGGAAAGAUAAGUCAGCUUGUGAAAGUUUGCGGCUCAACCGUAAAAUUGCAGUUGAUACUGUGUUUCUUGAGUGUACACGAGGUAGGCGGAAUUCACGGUGUAGCGGUGAAAUGCUUAGAUAUCGCGAAGAACUCCAACUGCGAAGGCAGCUUACAGGGGUACAACUGACGCUGAGGCACGAAAGUG
This 407-nucleotide ribosomal RNA is filed under the name uncultured bacterium. RNAcentral's name for it is "bacterial SSU rRNA". It matches the Rfam family "Bacterial small subunit ribosomal RNA", at positions 358 to 761 of the family's 1533-position model. The record is from RNAcentral.